CCUACGGGGGGCAGCAGUGGGGAAUAUUGCACAAUGGGGGAAACCCUGAUGCAGCGACGCCGCGUGAAGGAAGAAGUAUUUCGGUAUGUAAACUUCUAUCAGCGGGGAAGAAAUUGACGGUACCUGACUAAGAAGCACCGGCUAAAUACGUGCCAGCAGCCGCGGUAAUACGUAUGGUGCAAGCGUUAUCCGGAUUUACUGGGUGUAAAGGGAGCGUAGACGGAGAGGCAAGUCUGAAGUGAAAGCCCGGGGCUCAACCCCGGGACUGCUUUGGAAACUGCAGUUCUAGAGUGCCGGAGAGGUAAGCGGAAUUCCUAGUGUAGCGGUGAAAUGCGUAGAUAUUAGGAGGAACACCAGUGGCGAAGGCGGCUUACUGGACGGUGACUGACGUUGAGGCUCGAAAGCGUGGGGAGCAAACAGGAUUAGAUACCCGAGUAGUC
Molecule: ribosomal RNA, 440 nt
Filed under: uncultured bacterium
Lineage: Bacteria
Description: bacterial SSU rRNA
Rfam family: Bacterial small subunit ribosomal RNA
Source: RNAcentral